UACGUAGGGUGCAAGCGUUGUCCGGAAUUACUGGGCGUAAAGCGCGUGUAGGCGGUUGCCAAAGUCGGGUGUGAAAGCCUUGAGCUCAACUCAAGAAUUGCACUCGAUACUUGGUGACUAGAGGACCGGAGAGGAUAGUGGAAUUCCCAGUGUAGUGGUGAAAUACGUAGAGAUUGGGAAGAACACCAGUGGCGAAGGCGGCUAUCUGGACGGUUUCUGACGCUAAGACGCGAAAGCGUGGGGAGCAAACAGG
This 253-nucleotide ribosomal RNA is filed under the name uncultured bacterium. RNAcentral describes it as "partial 16S ribosomal RNA". It matches the Rfam family "Bacterial small subunit ribosomal RNA", at positions 524 to 776 of the family's 1533-position model. The record is from RNAcentral.